Molecule: ribosomal RNA, 184 nt
Filed under: uncultured methanogenic archaeon
Lineage: Archaea; Methanobacteriati; Methanobacteriota
Description: partial 16S ribosomal RNA
Rfam family: Archaeal small subunit ribosomal RNA
Source: RNAcentral
UUCUGGUUGAUCCUGCCAGAGGUUACUGCUAUCGGUGUUCGCCUAAGCCAUGCGAGUCAUAUGUUCUUCGUGAACAUGGCGUACUGCUCAGUAACACGUGGAUAACCUGCCCUUGGGUNNGGGAUAACCCCGGGAAACUGGGGAUAAUACCGGAUAACGCAUAUCUGCUGGAAUGCUUUAUGCG